UACGGAGGGUGCAAGCGUUAUCCGGAUUCACUGGGUUUAAAGGGUGCGUAGGAGGGCAGGGAAGUCAGUGGUGAAAUCUCCGGGCUUAACUCGGAAACUGCCGUUGAUACUCUCUGUCUUGAAUCCCGUGGAGGUGAGCGGAAUAUGUCAUGUAGCGGUGAAAUGCUUAGAUAUGACAUAGAACACCAAUUGCGAAGGCAGCUCGCUACACGAAUAUUGACUCUGAGGCACGAAAGCGUGGGGAUCAAACAGG
RNAcentral lists this ribosomal RNA (253 nucleotides) under uncultured bacterium. Its description in RNAcentral is "partial 16S ribosomal RNA". It matches the Rfam family "Bacterial small subunit ribosomal RNA", at positions 524 to 776 of the family's 1533-position model. The record is from RNAcentral.